RNAcentral lists this transfer RNA (66 nucleotides) under Carychium tridentatum. Its description in RNAcentral is "tRNA-Gly". Lineage: Eukaryota; Metazoa; Mollusca; Gastropoda; Ellobiida; Ellobiidae. The record is from RNAcentral.
AUUUUUAAUAGUAUAUUCAGUACAAUUACCUUCCAAGUAAUAAGUCGCUUUUGCGAUCUAAAAGUA